AUGCCAGCAGUGAGGUGCCAUGCUGGGGCCUUGUCCAUGCCCAGAAAAUGGCUGCAGCUCCUUCUGCACCGUGUGGUGAACAGCCCCUUACAGCACCCCUGCUGUAGACACUUUUUGGUUUAUAGGGAUGGGAGACAAGCUUUGCCUACGGUGAGCAUUCACAAGUGUCAGCAGGCCUCAGGCCUACCACAUAGGGCGGACGCUUCUGGCUUGGAGAACUACAUUAACUCACACCAGGCUUUUCUUCCACACCACGUAAGGCAUGGAGAAAGGCUUGCAACCCUGCUGUCUCCUUGGAGGAAGGUGACCAGCCGCUCCUUCUGUCAUCACCUCUCCUUCUUCCUUGCCCCUGUGGUCUGCAAUUGGCUCCACUCGCCUAGAGAGAGAUGGCUGGAGGUGAGCACUUCGGGAGGGCUCUCCUCCUCCUUCCACCUGUUUCUCAUUCCUUGACUCACUGGCUUUGAGCUGUAAGCAGUGACGUGACAGCUGAGUCAUGGACACACCACCUGGAUGCUGUCAGCAUCAAUCUCUCUUAUAAGGAUCAUAGAAGAGCAAAACAGAAAGAACUGUGAGGGUUUUGCAUUUGUCUUCCUGCCAGCGGGGACCGAGCCCUGCAGUGCGGUCUCUGGCUUUGCCCAAACUCACCCUCAAAAUCCCAAGCACUGGAGCUUCCACUGUUCUCCCCCAGGAACUGCUCUGCAACCUGAUAAAAAUCAUUGCCAAGGAGAUUUCUGCCUUUCCAUGGCUAUUAUUUAGCUUAAGUUUGGCUUAAGUGAACAAAAAACUUCUUAUUAAUAUCCACACUAUCGAUUUUUAUUGUUUUCCUUGCAAAGGAAUUUAGCCAAGCUGCAAAACUGGAGCUCAAAUGUUUUAUUUGUGGUUUAUUUAACAAUUUAAAAAGUCUCCCUGCUGCAUGCAUUGUUGUGCAGAGCAGAUGAAAAAAAGAUGCAGUCCUAUGCCCUGGAGAGCUUACACUUUUGAUUUAAGCAACAUACAGUGACUGAGAAUGACAAGUAACGAGACGGCAGGACACAAGUCAUACGAGAAAGGUCAGAAUGUUUCUAAAUAAAGCCCAUUGUCAUGCUUUUAAUUUGGGUUUA
This 1100-nucleotide long non-coding RNA is filed under the name Anas platyrhynchos platyrhynchos (common mallard). RNAcentral's name for it is "lncRNA (ENSAPLG00000028013.1)". Lineage: Eukaryota; Metazoa; Chordata; Aves; Anseriformes; Anatidae. The record is from RNAcentral.